RNAcentral lists this long non-coding RNA (2424 nucleotides) under Ornithorhynchus anatinus (platypus). Its description in RNAcentral is "lncRNA (ENSOANG00000043867.1)". The record is from RNAcentral. Lineage: Eukaryota; Metazoa; Chordata; Mammalia; Monotremata; Ornithorhynchidae.
GAAAACAGAAGAGGGAGCUGGUAGGGUCCAUGACCCUACACAAUGCACUGACCCAAGGGCAGGCAAACAGUUUAUUUUUUAGCCACCGUCUCCCCAGCUGCGAUGACUCCCCCUCCGCUCCAAUCAGCCCAGCAGUCAGCCCCAGCUCCCUCGGACCCUGAAUGCAAACAGCUGGGUCGAAGCCAACCGACCGGAUGCAUUACCUGUUGCCUUAGAAACCAAUAAGGGAUGGAUGUGUCUGACAUUUCCUCACGGGGGGAACCCGACGCGGGCUUGAGUCUUUUCUGUGGCUGGGAGAGGAAGAGGAAAAUAAAACAAGUAAGAAUGCCAGAGAUCAGGAAACCCGUCUACUCCCCUGGUGGACGAGAAGCAGCUUCGAUGAGACUCCAAGCUGCACAGCUUCCUCGUUGCCCUGUUUCCAGCCCCCUGCCAAAACAUUUCCUCACUUGGAUUCCUGUGUGAGGUGAGCCUUCUAUCCUGAAAUGCACCCACACCCACACCCAGAGACACAUAUGCACAUGAACACACAAAUACACAUGCACAAAUACACACACAAAAAGACCAACUAUGCACACAAACUCACAGAUACACAAGAACAAACACAAAUAUUCCCUCAAACACAUAGCUACAGAAAAACAAACACACAAAUGUGCCCACAAAUACAUGCAUAAGAAGUACAAACACAUGCACACAAAAUGGCUCAUAAAUACACAUACGCAGCCAUUGUUGGGUAGGGAUAGUCUCCAUCUGUAGCCGAAUUGUACUCUCGAAGCACUUAGUACAGUGCUUUGCAUGCAAUAAGCGCUCAAUAAAUGUGAUUGAAUGAAUAGACAACCAAAAGGGCACACACAAACACAAACACACACACAUACAUAAAUUAAGAGGUGCAGAGGUAGCUACACUGCCCCAUCCCCAAACACACACCAGCCCACACAUGAUCCAGCCCUCACACCGUGCAUUUUAAUAGGAACAGAGUUUUGGAAGGGACGAAAUUACAACCGGAAAGGUGAAAUGAAAUGAAUGAAAGGCAAAGAUUCCUGCUUGGGCACGCAGGUCCCGGGCAGCCAGCACCUAGCGCCUCCUCUAACGCCGCUCCCCAACGCCGGGACUUGACGCUGUCCUCUCGGUGAACCCUACAAAAUUAGCUCAACGUGAUGCCGCGUUCCCUGUUUUCUGGAGGAUCAAAGUUCCUGGAUCCCGGCCCGGCCUUCGGCUGAUAACCGGGUCACGGGAUAAGUUCGCGCCCGUGUACUGCUUGUUACACACCGCGGUGUGCGUAUCCCCCUGGAUUUCCCCGGUUAGAGCCAUACAGGGAAAUAACCGGGGCUCACAUUUUUCCCUUUCGGGCGAUAGAGCUAAUCUCGAGACCGUGAGAUCAUUUCUGUAUGCUCCACCCUCUUUACCAGCCUCGCUGGAACCAGGAAAAUGUGUUUUGCCUCCUCUCCUAAGAGGCUACCCUUCCAGAGCAGGCCCCUGCUACCGUUGUCAUAAUAACAGCAGCUCCUUGUAGCACUUAAAAUGCUUGUCUCACAACAGCAGCAUGACAAAGGGGAUCAGUCCCGUAUCAGGAGGACCGGCGGGGAUUAAAUGCCAUCCGAAGGGAGAAAGCUACCUUCGUGGUAUCAGAAGGCCUUGAAGAGAAGCAGCUUGGCCUAGUGGGUAGAGCGUGGGCCUGGGAGUCAGAAGGACCUGGGUUCUAACCCCGGCUCUGCCACUCGUCUGCUCUGUGAGCCUGGGCAAGUCGCUUCGCUUCUCUGGGCCUCCGUUCCCUCAUUUGCAGAAUGGGGAUUCAAAACCCGUUCUCCCUCUGACUAAGACUGUGAGUUCCAUAGGGGACUGGAUGGUUUUGUCUUUGACUCAGCGCUUGUAACAUAGAAAGAGCUCAACAAAUACCACAGUUAUCAUCAUUGUUAUUCUCUGUUCCUAAGUUACCUCAUGUAUAAAAUGGGGAUUAAAACUGAGAGCCCCAGGUGGGAUAUGGACUGUGUCCAAACCGAUUAGCUUGUAGGUGCCAGUGCUAGAAGCAGCGUGACUUAGUGGAAAGAGCAUGGGCUUGGGAAUCAGAGGACUUGGGUUGUAUCGUUUUUGUCUGUCUCUCUCCCCCGAUUAGACUGUAAGCCCGUCAAAAGGCAGGGACUGUCUCUAUCUGUUACCGAUUUGUACAUUCCAAGCGCUUAGUACGAUGCUCUGCACAUAGUAAGCGCUCAAUAAAUGCUAUUGAAUGAAUGAAUGAAUACUUCCACUUGAACUCCUUUGAUAUGGUUUUUAUUAAACCCACAUACUUCGCUGCCUGCAAAUGUGUUGUGGGCAAGAAACAAGUCUACCUCCUCUGUAGAGAAGCAGCAUGGCAUUGUGGAUAGAGCCUGGGAGUCAGAAGGUAAUGGGUUCUAAUCCCGGCUCUGCCACUUGUCUGCUGUGUGACCU